AAGGAAUGAUAGGCCAAUAUCACAUAUAUACUAAAACCAAAGCAAGAGGACUGUCCCUCUGUCAGAUGUGAAACAAAAAGAUUUUUUUUCCAUCAUAAGAAAAGCCAUAAUUUCUUAUUUGCAUUUAAAGUUUCACAUUAUUUCACAAAGAAUUCAUUACGCCAAGAUAACAACAGUUUCAAAGCAAUCAAAGAACUCAUACAAUAAGAAAGCUAAAAUUAAGAAAUGAAUCAAAAUGUGAUAAUAGUUCAAACAAAGCAUGUGAAACGACUGAACUAAACCAGAGGGCCUCAUAUUUUAAACCAAACAAAGACUACAACAAUGAGACAACA
This 332-nucleotide long non-coding RNA is filed under the name Gossypium barbadense (sea-island cotton). RNAcentral's name for it is "long non-coding RNA (GBAR_LNC006084)". Lineage: Eukaryota; Viridiplantae; Streptophyta; Magnoliopsida; Malvales; Malvaceae. The record is from RNAcentral.